This 603-nucleotide ribosomal RNA is filed under the name Lactobacillus delbrueckii subsp. bulgaricus. RNAcentral's name for it is "bacterial LSU rRNA". It matches the Rfam family "Bacterial large subunit ribosomal RNA", at positions 1207 to 1799 of the family's 2925-position model. The record is from RNAcentral. Lineage: Bacteria; Bacillati; Bacillota; Bacilli; Lactobacillales; Lactobacillaceae.
UGUGCGUUUAUGCACGUGGUAGGAGAGCGUUCUAGCGGCGGUGAAGCAUGACUGAGAAGACAUGUGGAGCUCUAGAAGUGAGAAUGCCGGUAUGAGUAACGAAAGACAGGUGAGAAUCCUGUCCGCCGCAAGACUAAGGUUUCCUGGGGCAGGCUCGUCCGCCCAGGGUAAGUCGGGACCUAAGGCGAGGCCGAGAGGCGUAGUCGAUGGACAACAGGUUGAAAUUCCUGUACUGCACCGAAUCGUUAUGAGCGAUGGAGGGACGCAGGAGGCUAGCAGCGCGUGGUGCUGGAUACCACGUUCAAGCGUCAAGUCUGAGAGCGAGUCAAAUGCUUGCUCUCAUCGAGUCAAAUGCUUGCUCUCAUAAGGACAAGGCGUGAUGAGGAGCGAAAUUAAAGUAGCGAAGGCUGCGACGUCACACUGCCGAGAAAAGCUUCUAGCCAGAGACGGUGCACCCGUACCGCAAACCGACACAGGUAGUCGAGGAGAGUAUCCUCAGGUGAGCGAGAGAACUCUCGUUAAGGAACUCGGCAAAAUGGCCCCGUAACUUCGGGAGAAGGGGCGCUGGUCGCAAGAUCAGCCGCAGUGAAAAGGCCCAAGCAA